This 145-nucleotide non-coding RNA is filed under the name uncultured Muricomes sp. RNAcentral's name for it is "NiCo riboswitch". It matches the Rfam family "NiCo (Nickel/Cobalt) riboswitch aptamer". The record is from RNAcentral. Lineage: Bacteria; Bacillati; Bacillota; Clostridia; Lachnospirales; Lachnospiraceae.
ACAGUACAAACUGAGCAGGCGAUACAUACGGAAGUGAUUUCAUGUAUGAAUGGGGCCGGGCCGCAACGCGGCAGCAGAUGAAGUUUUAUAUCCUGGGAAGGAUAUUGACCUGCCUUUGGGCAGAGGAAAGAAUCUGUGGGACAGU